RNAcentral lists this ribosomal RNA (2870 nucleotides) under Escherichia coli. RNAcentral's name for it is "23S ribosomal RNA". It matches the Rfam family "Bacterial large subunit ribosomal RNA". Lineage: Bacteria; Pseudomonadati; Pseudomonadota; Gammaproteobacteria; Enterobacterales; Enterobacteriaceae. The record is from RNAcentral.
GGGUUGUGAGGUUAAGCGACUAAGCGUACACGGUGGAUGCCCUGGCAGUCAGAGGCGAUGAAGGACGUGCUAAUCUGCGAUAAGCGUCGGUGACGACACACUAUCAUUAACUGAAUCCAUAGGUUAAUGAGGCGAACCGGGGGAACUGAAACAUCUAAGUACCCCGAGGAAAAGAAAUCAACCGAGAUUCCCCCAGUAGCGGCGAGCGAACGGGGAGGAGCCCAGAGCCUGAAUCAGUGUGUGUGUUAGUGGAAGCGUCUGGAAAGGCGCGCGAUACAGGGUGACAGCCCCGUACACAAAAAUGCACAUAUUGUGAGCUCGAUGAGUAGGGCGGGACACGUGGUAUCCUGUCUGAAUAUGGGGGGACCAUCCUCCAAGGCUAAAUACUCCUGACUGACCGAUAGUGAACCAGUACCGUGAGGGAAAGGCGAAAAGAACCCCGGCGAGGGGAGUGAAAAAGAACCUGAAACCGUGUACGUACAAGCAGUGGGAGCCUCUUAAUGGGGUGACUGCGUACCUUUUGUAUAAUGGGUCAGCGACUUAUAUUCUGUAGCAAGGUUAACCGAAUAGGGGAGCCGAAGGGAAACCGAGUCUUAACUGGGCGUUAAGUUGCAGGGUAUAGACCCGAAACCCGGUGAUCUAGCCAUGGGCAGGUUGAAGGUUGGGUAACACUAACUGGAGGACCGAACCGACUAAUGUUGAAAAAUUAGCGGAUGACUUGUGGCUGGGGGUGAAAGGCCAAUCAAACCGGGAGAUAGCUGGUUCUCCCCGAAAGCUAUUUAGGUAGCGCCUCGUGAAUUCAUCUCCGGGGGUAGAGCACUGUUUCGGCAAGGGGGUCAUCCCGACUUACCAACCCGAUGCAAACUGCGAAUACCGGAGAAUGUUAUCACGGGAGACACACGGCGGGUGCUAACGUCCGUCGUGAAGAGGGAAACAACCCAGACCGCCAGCUAAGGUCCCAAAGUCAUGGUUAAGUGGGAAACGAUGUGGGAAGGCCCAGACAGCCAGGAUGUUGGCUUAGAAGCAGCCAUCAUUUAAAGAAAGCGUAAUAGCUCACUGGUCGAGUCGGCCUGCGCGGAAGAUGUAACGGGGCUAAACCAUGCACCGAAGCUGCGGCAGCGACACUAUGUGUUGUUGGGUAGGGGAGCGUUCUGUAAGCCUGUGAAGGUGKMCUGUGAGGKWUGCUGGAGGUAUCAGAAGUGCGAAUGCUGACAUAAGUAACGAUAAAGCGGGUGAAAAGCCCGCUCGCCGGAAGACCAAGGGUUCCUGUCCAACGUUAAUCGGGGCAGGGUGAGUCGACCCCUAAGGCGAGGCCGAAAGGCGUAGUCGAUGGGAAACAGGUUAAUAUUCCUGUACUUGGUGUUACUGCGAAGGGGGGACGGAGAAGGCUAUGUUGGCCGGGCGACGGUUGUCCCGGUUUAAGCGUGUAGGCUGGUUUUCCAGGCAAAUCCGGAAAAUCAAGGCUGAGGCGUGAUGACGAGGCACUACGGUGCUGAAGCGACAAAUGCCCUGCUUCCAGGAAAAGCCUCUAAGCAUCAGGUAACAUCAAAUCGUACCCCAAACCGACACAGGUGGUCAGGUAGAGAAUACCAAGGCGCUUGAGAGAACUCGGGUGAAGGAACUAGGCAAAAUGGUGCCGUAACUUCGGGAGAAGGCACGCUGAUAUGUAGGUGAAGCGACUUGCUCGUGGAGCUGAAAUCAGUCGAAGAUACCAGCUGGCUGCAACUGUUUAUUAAAAACACAGCACUGUGCAAACACGAAAGUGGACGUAUACGGUGUGACGCCUGCCCGGUGCCGGAAGGUUAAUUGAUGGGGUUAGCGGUAACGCGAAGCUCUUGAUCGAAGCCCCGGUAAACGGCGGCCGUAACUAUAACGGUCCUAAGGUAGCGAAAUUCCUUGUCGGGUAAGUUCCGACCUGCACGAAUGGCGUAAUGAUGGCCAGGCUGUCUCCACCCGAGACUCAGUGAAAUUGAACUCGCUGUGAAGAUGCAGUGUACCCGCGGCAAGACGGAAAGACCCCGUGAACCUUUACUAUAGCUUGACACUGAACAUUGAGCCUUGAUGUGUAGGAUAGGUGGGAGGCUUUGAAGUGUGGACGCCAGUCUGCAUGGAGCCGACCUUGAAAUACCACCCUUUAAUGUUUGAUGUUCUAACGUGGGCCCCUUACCGGGGUUGCGGACAGUGUCUGGUGGGUAGUUUGACUGGGGCGGUCUCCUCCUAAAGAGUAACGGAGGAGCACGAAGGUUGGCUAAUCCUGGUCGGACAUCAGGAGGUUAGUGCAAUGGCAUAAGCCAGCUUGACUGCGAGCGUGACGGCGCGAGCAGGUGCGAAAGCAGGUCAUAGUGAUCCGGUGGUUCUGAAUGGAAGGGCCAUCGCUCAACGGAUAAAAGGUACUCCGGGGAUAACAGGCUGAUACCGCCCAAGAGUUCAUAUCGACGGCGGUGUUUGGCACCUCGAUGUCGGCUCAUCACAUCCUGGGGCUGAAGUAGGUCCCAAGGGUAUGGCUGUUCGCCAUUUAAAGUGGUACGCGAGCUGGGUUUAGAACGUCGUGAGACAGUUCGGUCCCUAUCUGCCGUGGGCGCUGGAGAACUGAGGGGGGCUGCUCCUAGUACGAGAGGACCGGAGUGGACGCAUCACUGGUGUUCGGGUUGUCAUGCCAAUGGCACUGCCCGGUAGCUAAAUGCGGAAGAGAUAAGUGCUGAAAGCAUCUAAGCACGAAACUUGCCCCGAGAUGAGUUCUCCCUGACUCCUUGAGAGUCCUGAAGGAACGUUGAAGACGACGACGUUGAUAGGCCGGGUGUGUAAGCGCAGCGAUGCGUUGAGCUAACCGGUACUAAUGAACCGUGAGGCUUAACCUUACAACGCCGAAG